CUACUUAACACAUGCAAGUCGAACGGUGAACCGGAGCUUGCUCUGUGGGAUCAGUGGCGAACGGGUGAGUAACACGUGAGCAACCUGCCCCUGACUCUGGGAUAAGCGCUGGAAACGGCGUCUAAUACUGGAUAUGUGACGUGACCGCAUGGUCUGCGUCUGGAAAGAAUUUCGGUUGGGGAUGGGCUCGCGGCCUAUCAGCUUGUUGGUGAGGUAAUGGCUCACCAAGGCGUCGACGGGUAGCCGGCCUGAGAGGGUGACCGGCCACACUGGGACUGAGACACGGCCCAGACUCCUACGGGAGGCAGCAGUGGGGAAUAUUGCACAAUGGGCGCAAGCCUGAUGCAGCAACGCCGCGUGAGGGACGACGGCCUUCGGGUUGUAAACCUCUUUUAGCAGGGAAGAAGCGAAAGUGACGGUACCUGCAGAAAAAGCGCCGGCUAACUACGUGCCAGCAGCCGCGGUAAUACGUAGGGCGCAAGCGUUAUCCGGAAUUAUUGGGCGUAAAGAGCUCGUAGGCGGUUUGUCGCGUCUGCUGUGAAAUCCGGAGGCUCAACCUCCGGCCUGCAGUGGGUACGGGCAGACUAGAGUGCGGUAAGGGGAGAUUGG
RNAcentral lists this ribosomal RNA (609 nucleotides) under Microbacterium sp. B2_10_cr. RNAcentral's name for it is "bacterial SSU rRNA". It matches the Rfam family "Bacterial small subunit ribosomal RNA", at positions 44 to 665 of the family's 1533-position model. The record is from RNAcentral. Lineage: Bacteria; Bacillati; Actinomycetota; Actinomycetes; Micrococcales; Microbacteriaceae.